GACGAACGCUGGCGGCGUGCUUAACACAUGCAAGUCGAACGGAAAGGCCCUGCUUUUGUGGGGUGCUCGAGUGGCGAACGGGUGAGUAACACGUGAGUAACCUGCCCUUGACUUUGGGAUAACUUCAGGAAACUGGGGCUAAUACCGGAUAGGAGCUCCUGCCGCAUGGUGGGGGUUGGAAAGUUUCGGCGGUUGGGGAUGGACUCGCGGCUUAUCAGCUUGUUGGUGGGGUAGUGGCUUACCAAGGCUUUGACGGGUAGCCGGCCUGAGAGGGUGACCGGCCACAUUGGGACUGAGAUACGGACCAGACUCCUACGGGAGGCAGCAGUGGGGAAUAUUGCACAAUGGGCGGAAGCCUGAUGCAACAACGCCGCGUGCGGGAUGACGGCCUUCGGGUUGUAAACCGCUUUCGCCUGUGACGAAGCGUGAGUGACGGUAAUGGGUAAAGAAGCACCGGCUAACUACGUG
RNAcentral lists this ribosomal RNA (468 nucleotides) under uncultured bacterium. RNAcentral's name for it is "partial 16S ribosomal RNA". It matches the Rfam family "Bacterial small subunit ribosomal RNA", at positions 28 to 507 of the family's 1533-position model. The record is from RNAcentral.